UACGGAGGAUCCAAGCGUUAUCCGGAAUCAUUGGGUUUAAAGGGUCCGUAGGUGGACUGGUCAGUCAGAGGUGAAAUCCUGCAGCUUAACUGUAGAACUGCCUUUGAUACUGCUAGUCUUGAAUCAUUAUGAAGUGGUUAGAAUAUGUAGUGUAGCGGUGAAAUGCAUAGAUAUUACAUAGAAUACCAAUUGCGAAGGCAGAUCACUAAUAAUGUAUUGACACUGAUGGACGAAAGCGUAGGUAGCGAACGGG
RNAcentral lists this ribosomal RNA (253 nucleotides) under uncultured bacterium. RNAcentral describes it as "partial 16S ribosomal RNA". It matches the Rfam family "Bacterial small subunit ribosomal RNA", at positions 524 to 776 of the family's 1533-position model. The record is from RNAcentral.